CAGUAGCCGCGGGAAUACGUAAGUGGCAAGCGUUGUCCGGAAUUAUUGGGCGUAAAGGGCUCGCAGGCGGUUUCUUAAGUCUGAUGUGAAAGCCCCCGGCUCAACCGGGGAGGGUCAUUGGAAACUGGGAAACUUGAGUGCAGAAGAGGAGAGUGGAAUUCCACGUGUAGCGGUGAAAUGCGUAGAGAUGUGGAGGAACACCAGUGGCGAAGGCGACUCUCUGGUCUGUAACUGACGCUGAGGAGCGAAAGCGUGGGGAGCGAACAGGAUUAGAUACCCGCGUAGUCCCUGUCUCUUAUAC
RNAcentral lists this ribosomal RNA (301 nucleotides) under uncultured bacterium. Its description in RNAcentral is "partial 16S ribosomal RNA". It matches the Rfam family "Bacterial small subunit ribosomal RNA", at positions 509 to 807 of the family's 1533-position model. The record is from RNAcentral.